AUGUCUUCUCGCAUCUGGAUUUCUGGGCUUUGUACCUUUGCAAUAUGUGCUUUUCAUGCAGAAUCUGCUCAAGAUUUAGGUCCCGGAAUGUUGCUGGCCUCGUUCGACGCGGCGGCCGCGCCGGCGACUGUUCCACGGUUUAACGGCGUGCUUUUUGGAGGGAAGGGAAGGACCUUCUCUCGCAAGGGAAGGCCCCAUAUCCAGCGACAAGGUGAGGGGGACACCCAGAUCCGCAGCGGCACCGGCGCGCCCUCGUCCACCUGGGCCUCGAGGUCGGCCAUGCAGGCUAAUUUGAGAGCAGCCACACGGAGACCGACCGCUCCGCAUGCCCACUCCUGCGACCGCGCUCCCCCUUCCCCUUCCCCACCUACCCCCACCGCCGCCGCCGUCGAUGGCUCGCCUCCCACCGCCCCCGCAACCACCACUCGACGCCCCCAUGCCCCGCCAGAUCAGAUCCACAGGGUCGCCCCCCAGGUCCCUCCCUCCCGGGGUCCCGCAGGGCUCGACGGUGAUUCGGAUGCCCCUGCCAUUCGUUUACCUUGCUUUCCCAGAGAAGCUGCGCCUGAUUGGAUCGGUCUCUCCGGCGACGCUUCAGGCAACAAGGAUGCAGAGGUGGACAGAGCAGGCGGUCAGGAUCCGCGACGACGUCGACUCGUGGAUGCAGUGCGUGAAGGAGUGGAGGGAGGCGGAUCUCGCUGCGGAGAGGAGUCUGGAUCCAUUUCAAAAGCUCUGCAGAGUGAGGUACGCUCAAACAUGCCAGAUCCAAGUGGAUCGAGAGCUGCUCAACCUCGCUCGGAGGAUCUACUUCUAAGGCACGAAGGCGGAGAAGGCCCAGAUGCCCAGUCCGAGGGAGCAGCCAGAGGCGUUCAUUGUUUGGGCGAAAUCAGAAGCGAAGUGCGGAGACGCCGGCCGCAGGGCGCGAUGGGAAGGGAUCCUCGGGCGCCUGCCUUCCAGCCCCCCUUCGGACUCGGAAGAGGUGGAUCCAUGGCCCUACCUGUCUCCAGUAUCGGAUCGGGAUUGCGGCAGCUACAACCCCUAAAUCUCAAAGCUCUGGCAGUUUUGGUCACGGGGGACAGCUACUGUGCGGCGCAUGAGGACUGUGGAGCCGGGCAUGGGGUGCACAGUGCGAUGGCUGAAUGCAUCUUCUCGGUGGAGGGAGCCUGGAAAGAGUUGUCCAAGCAGAGUGAGCCCAUGCCCCCGUCCACACCCACUCGCCAUGAGCGACCGAUGAGAGACAGCGUUUACCCAAGCUCAGAUCAGCGAGGAAGAGGAGAUUUCAGAAGUGAUGCUGGCGGAGACAACAUCAAUGAGGAUCCCAAGGAGAGGUCGCGAAUUAGUACAGAAGCUGGUUACCAGGAUCCUAGCAUUCGCCACGGAUCGCGAGCUGUCCUUGUUCCUGACAGGCAGAUCGACACCGGCGAGGGUGGUGAUCUCUUGGGCAAUGGCGGCACAGGAAUCACCGCUGAGAGCGAGGCGGAUUCAUUGGCAAGCAUUCUGGAGAUUACAACUGCAGGAGAGCAUCACAAUAGCCGUGAAUCUGACAGCGUCCCAGUAACAGAUUUUGGAUCGAAGCAAAAAUCAGAGGCGCUUCUGGUCAUGGAUGCAUCAGGGGGGUUCAGAUUCGUGGACUUGAGGAGAAGCAACAAGAUUCAAAAUGGCCACAUGGAUGACGCAACCGCCAACUCACCCACCAGACUGCCAGUGGCGGCUACCACCCCCGAUCCAGAUCUCAUGGCGGAUGGAGGGCGCGGGCGGGGCAGAGCCAAGAACAGAGGUGGUAGGGGGGAUCAAGCAGGGAAUUGGCCUCCCGACCACCAGCAGAUCAACCAGGGGAGCGGGCUGCAGCCGCAGCAGCCGUUCUUCGGUUUCGGUUACCAGGGCCCGCCGCCGCCAUGGGCUUUCCCAGUUUUUGUUGAGUCUGAGGAGGUCUCAAAGCAGGAACUGGCAACAGAGUUUGCCAGCAUCUACAAAAUCAAUUGGCCCUGGCCCAUCAAUGCUCUAGAUGAGUGGACAUUUCUAGUCAAAUUCCCUCCUGAGAUUGAUGUGGAGCAGGUGUAUGGAUACCCCUGCUUCGGACUGUCCAAAGAAAACACUAUAGUGAAUGUAGAAGUAUGGAAAGGGGAGAUCACUGCCGAAGAAGAGUUACAAAAGGUCUGGAUCAAGUUAAGAAGCAUGAACCCCAAGUGGUGUGAAUGGUCACUGCUGGACCAGAUCACAUCUACAUUUGGUGUCCUGCUGGAUGUGGACUGGCAGCACAAUUUCCAGAACUUCUAUGAAACUAUCAGAGUGAAAAUAGCCUGUAAAGACCACUCCAGGGUGCCAAAGGAGAGAAUUUUUGGAAACCAUGGUAAGAUGUACAAAAUCAAAGUUGAGGUAGAGCCACCAAAUGCUGUUGUGGAUGAACAAGUCCAAGGACAAACCACAGGUGAUCAGCAGAGUGGAGGAACUGACAACAACCACAACAGCAAAAACAAUGAUGAUACAACCUCUCAUAAAAGUUCCAAAAGCUCAGAUAAUGGAUCUAGGACCAGCUCUAGUAGUGGAAUGAACAGGAGAUCCAGUGAUUACUGCCAGGAAGAGAACAUCAAAAGUAGUGCACUUAGUCGCUUGCUAGAAGAUGGGAACCUGGGGGAUGGUUUCAGCCUCCUGAGGGAAAUGGAAAGCUGGGAGGAUGAUGGAAUUAGCACUGAAGAUGGAGAGGAUGACAUGUCAAUGGAAACCCUGCACCUGCCUGGAAGCAAUGCUGAAGAAGCUGUGGAGGAGAAGAGCCAAAAAUAUGAAGAAGACUUCCCACCAACCAACAACAGAACAAUGCAAAAAAUUGGGGUCAUGUCCAAGCUGCCAGAAUGA
Molecule: ribosomal RNA, 2850 nt
Filed under: Triticum aestivum (bread wheat)
Lineage: Eukaryota; Viridiplantae; Streptophyta; Magnoliopsida; Poales; Poaceae
Description: partial small subunit ribosomal RNA
Source: RNAcentral